RNAcentral lists this ribosomal RNA (320 nucleotides) under uncultured Lactobacillus sp. RNAcentral's name for it is "bacterial SSU rRNA". It matches the Rfam family "Bacterial small subunit ribosomal RNA", at positions 227 to 524 of the family's 1533-position model. The record is from RNAcentral. Lineage: Bacteria; Bacillati; Bacillota; Bacilli; Lactobacillales; Lactobacillaceae.
GGACCUGCGAUGCAUUAGCUAGUUGGUAAGGUAACGGCUUACCAAGGCGAUGAUGCAUAGCCCGAGUUGAGAGACUGAUCGGGCCACAUUGGGGACUGAGGACACGGGGCCCAAAACUCCUACGGGGGGAGGGGCAGCAGGUAGGGGGAAUCUUCCACAAUGGACGAAAGUCUGAUGGAGCAACGCCGCGUGAGUGAAGAAGGUUUUUCGGAUCGUAAAGCUCUGUUGUUGGUGAAGAAGGAUAGAGGUAGUAACUGGCCUUUAUUUGACGGUAAUCAACCAGAAAGUCACGGCUAACUACGUGCCAGCAGCCGCGUAAU